RNAcentral lists this ribosomal RNA (33 nucleotides) under Phyllactinia roboris. RNAcentral's name for it is "partial 18S ribosomal RNA". RNAcentral also lists the same sequence under 1 other name. The record is from RNAcentral. Lineage: Eukaryota; Fungi; Ascomycota; Leotiomycetes; Helotiales; Erysiphaceae.
UUUCCCGUAGGUGAACCUGCGGAAGGAUCAUUA